CGGUUGAUCCUGCCGGAGGCCACUGCUAUCGGGGUUCGAUUAAGCCAUGCGAGUCGAGAGGUGCAAGACCUCGGCAUACUGCUCAGUAACACGUGGACAACCUACCCUAAGGAGGGGGAUAGCCCCGGGAAACUGGGGAUAAUACCCCAUAGGCUACAGAUGCUGGAAUGCUCUGUAAUCAAAAGGUCCGCCGCCUUAGGAUGGGUCUGCGGCCGAUUAGGUUGUUGUUGGGGUAAAGGCCCAACAAGCCUGUAAUCGGUACGGGUUGUGGGAGCAAGAACCCGGAGAUGGAUUCUGAGACACGAAUCCAGGCCCUACAGGGCGCAGCAGGCGCGAAAACUUUGCAAUGCGGGAAACCGUGACAAGGGAACCCCGAGUGCCCGUAAAUUCGGGCUGUUCUGGUGUACAAAAAGCACCAGGAGAAAGGGCCGGGCAAGACCGGUGCCAGCCGCCGCGGUAAUACCGGCGGCUCGAGUGGUGGCCACUAUUACUGGGCUUAAAGCGUUCGUAGCUGGACUGUUAAGUCUCUUGGGAAAUCUACCGGCUUAACCGAUAGGCGUUCAAGAGAUACUGGCAAUCUAGGGACCGGGAGAGGUGAGAGGUACUCCAGGGGUAGGAGUGAAAUCCUGUAAUCCUUGGGGGANCACCUGUGGCGAAGGCGUCUCAUCAGAACGGCUCCGACAGUGAGGGANGAAAGCUGGGGGAGCAAACCGGAUUAGAUACCCGGGUAGUCCCAGCUGUAAACNAUGNNCGUUAGGUGUAUCGGUGACCACGAGUCANCGAGGUGCCGAANANAAUCGUGAAACGUGCCGCCNGGGANU
This 821-nucleotide ribosomal RNA is filed under the name uncultured archaeon. RNAcentral describes it as "bacterial SSU rRNA". It matches the Rfam family "Archaeal small subunit ribosomal RNA", at positions 5 to 835 of the family's 1478-position model. The record is from RNAcentral.